This 367-nucleotide ribosomal RNA is filed under the name Giardia duodenalis. RNAcentral's name for it is "SSU rRNA". It matches the Rfam family "Eukaryotic small subunit ribosomal RNA", at positions 611 to 1116 of the family's 1831-position model. Lineage: Eukaryota; Fornicata; Diplomonadida; Hexamitidae. The record is from RNAcentral.
GCGCUGCUGCAGUUAAAACGCCCGUAGUUGGCCUCCCGCCGCCACGAGGAAACGGGAGCGCUCCAGGCAGGCCCGUUGGACCCGCCGCGUGGGACCGCGCAGCGGGCGAGGCGCGCCGCGGCAGCCCCGAGGAGAGCGGGCGGGGGAACCGGUACCGGCCGGGGACGGGUGAAACAGGUUGAUCCCGCCGAGACCGCCGGCCGCGCAGGCGCCUGCCAAGACCGCCUCUGUCAAUCAAGGGCGAAGGCCGGGGGCUAGAAGGCGAUCAGACACCACCGUAUUCCCGGCCGUAAACGGUGCCGCCCCGCGGCCGGCGCGCGCGUCCCGCCGGCCGCCCAGGGAAAUCGGGAGGCUCCGGGCUCUGGGG